This 443-nucleotide ribosomal RNA is filed under the name uncultured bacterium. Its description in RNAcentral is "partial 16S ribosomal RNA". It matches the Rfam family "Bacterial small subunit ribosomal RNA", at positions 338 to 795 of the family's 1533-position model. The record is from RNAcentral.
CCUACGGGUGGCAGCAGUGGGGAAUAUUGCGCAAUGGGGGCAACCCUGACGCAGCAACGCCGCGUGAUUGAAGAAGGCCUUCGGGUUGUAAAGCUCUUUAAUUGGGGACGAAACAAAUGACGGUACCUAAAGAAUAGGCACCGGCUAAAUACGCGACAGCAGCCGCGGUAAUACGUAGGGCGCGAGCGUUAUCCGGAUAUACUGGGUGUAAAGGGCGAGUAGGCGGGCUGGCAAGUUGGGAGUGAAAUCCCGGGGCUUAACCCCGGAACUGCUUCCGAAACUGCUGGUCUUGAGUGAAGGAGAGGCAGGCGGAAUUCCGUGUGUAGCGGUGAAAUGCGUAGAGAUACGGAAGAACACCGGUGGCGAAGGCAGCCUACUGGACAUUAACUGACGCUGAGGAGCGAAAGCGUGGGGAGCAAACAGGAUUAGAUACCCGGGUAGUC